AGCAGCCGCGGUAAUUCCAGCUCCAAUAGCGUAUAUUAAAGUUGUUGCAGUUAAAAAGCUCGUAGUUGAAUUUCGGGGUUAGUAGGUUGGUCAUGCCUCUGGUAUGUACUGGUCUCACUGAUUCCUCCUUCCUGAUGAACCUUAAUGCCAUUUAUUUGGUGUUUUGGGGAAUUUGGACUGUUACUUUGAAAAAAUUAGAGUGUUUAAAGCAAGCUAACGCUUGAAUACAUUAGCAUGGAAUAAUGAAAUAGGACGUUCGAUCCUAUUUUGUUGGUUUCUAGGAUUGACGUAAUGAUUAAUAGGGAUAGUUGGGGGCAUUAGUAUUCAAUUGUCAGAGGUGAAAUUCUUGGAUUUAUUGAAGACUAACUACUGCGAAAGCAUUUGCCAAGGAUGUUUUCAUUAAUCAAGAACGAAAGUUAGGGGAUCGAAGACGAUCAGAUACCGUCGUAGUCUUAACCAUAAACUAUGCCGACUAGGGAUCGGAUGAUGUUAAUUUUUUUAAUGACUCAUUCGGCGCCUU
This 520-nucleotide small RNA is filed under the name uncultured Glomus. RNAcentral's name for it is "SSU rRNA". It matches the Rfam family "Eukaryotic small subunit ribosomal RNA", at positions 569 to 1089 of the family's 1831-position model. The record is from RNAcentral. Lineage: Eukaryota; Fungi; Glomeromycota; Glomeromycetes; Glomerales; Glomeraceae.